Molecule: long non-coding RNA, 595 nt
Organism: Chelonoidis abingdonii (Abingdon island giant tortoise)
Lineage: Eukaryota; Metazoa; Chordata; Testudines; Testudinidae
Source: RefSeq, a predicted model, not a curated record
CCAGUUUUGAGAGCUUCUGCUCUCCCUUUUUCAGCCUGCCCUAACUUUGGCAUUUUCAGUGAGAACUGCCCCUGGCCCACCAGGUCACACUAAGCACUGAAGUUAAAUUAAUAGAAUGUUUAUUUUAUGACCAAGUCUUAUGAAAUCAACUAAACUCCUUUGUUUUCUUUCAUCUGAGCAGGGUUUCUGGUUUUCCAACGUGAUGUGAUCUCCCAGCUGGAACAAGGGGAAGAGCCAUGGGUCCCAAACCUCCAGAGUUCAGAGGAAAGAGAGAUCCUGAGAGCUCCCUGCACAGGUGAGGAAACAUUAAACCACCUCAGAAUCUGAGGUGAUGCAAUGGCAUGUGAGAAAGAGGGGCAGAAUUCUCAGCCUGAAAAUGUUGAGCCAGUGGGUAAAAACAGAGCAUUAUCUCAAAGUUCAAAAAGGAAUGUGUCCAGGAGUCAUGAGGAGGGAAAAUCCUGGCAGAUUCAGCACAGACCAGAAACAGAUCAAGGAAACCAGCCAGGGGAGAAAGUAGAUAAAUUUAUUUCCUCUUGGGGAACUCAGAAGGUCCUCAUAGAAACCACAACACAGCAGGAUAUCCUCAGGCAAAAGA